AGACGCGGGCAGUUCUGCUAAUUACAAUCUAGUGUGUGUGUUAACUCAUUCAUACUAAGUAAACCUUGAAGAAAUAUUGACGCUUAAAAUUUGACUUAAGUCAAAGUUCUUUUUGCAUGGGAUUUUGGAAUAUGAGUGGUGGAGUAAAAUCCGCUGCUAAUGACAUUCGAGGAUGAAAGAGGAAGUUAAUAUUUGUGAGUCAGAGGUGAAAUUCUUGGAUUUCUCAAAGAUUAACUAAUGCGAAGGCAUUCUUCAAUUGCUUUCCUGUCAAUCAAGAACGAAAGUAAGGGGAUCGAAGACGAUCAGAUACCGUCGUAGUCUUUACAGUAAAUUUUGCCGACAAAGGAAACGGGAAAGACCUAGAAUGCGCCGGGCAACUGGUACAUUUAAUAUCCUCCUGUUUUCUCCCACGAAAGUUUAAGUCUUUGGGUUCUGGGGGGAGUAUGUUCGCAAGGCCGAAACUUAAAGGAAUUGACGGAAAGGCACCACCAGGCGUGGAGCCUGCGGCUUAAUUUGACCCAACACGGGAAAACUUACCAGGUCCAAACAGCGUGAGGAUUGACAGAUUGAGAGCUCUUUCAUGAUUCGUUGGGUGGUGGUGCAUGGCCGUUCUUAGUUGGUGGUGCGAGCUGUCUGGUUGAUUCCGUUAACGAACGAGACCUUUGUGAGAUAAUAGUUGAAUCAAGAUAUUGCGUCAAGGCUGGAGCUCACGUAUUGGGGAAGGAUCCGUUCCUCCCUUUACUCUGGGUUUCAGUUGCAAUCUAGAUUACAACUUCUUUCUCAGACAAAUGAAAAAAAUUCAUUGGAAGUUGGAGGCAAAAACAGGUCUGUGAUGCCCUUCGAUGUUCUGGGCUGCACGCGCGCUACAAUGACAAAGUCAACAAGUUUUUUCCUUGCUUGAAAGGGCUGGGUAAUCUCUAAAACUUUGUCGUAAUAAGGAUCGCUGAUUGAAACUAUUCGGCGUGAAUCAGGAAUGCCUUGUAAUUAUAAGUCAUCAGCUUAUAGUGAAUACGUCCCUGCCUUUUGUACACACCGCCCGUCGCUCCUACCAAUUGGUAUAAACGGUGAAAAGUUCGGAGACAACUUUCGUUCAGAGUCAAAUCUGAUGUUAGAUACCAAAGUUCUUUAAAUCUUUUGUACUAGAGGAAGGAGAAGUCGUAACAAGGUUUCCGUAGGUGAACCUGCGGAAG
RNAcentral lists this ribosomal RNA (1190 nucleotides) under metagenome. RNAcentral describes it as "bacterial SSU rRNA". It matches the Rfam family "Eukaryotic small subunit ribosomal RNA", at positions 692 to 1823 of the family's 1831-position model. The record is from RNAcentral.